RNAcentral lists this ribosomal RNA (505 nucleotides) under uncultured bacterium. RNAcentral describes it as "partial 16S ribosomal RNA". It matches the Rfam family "Bacterial small subunit ribosomal RNA", at positions 28 to 507 of the family's 1533-position model. The record is from RNAcentral.
GACGAACGCUGGCGGCGUGCCUAAUACAUGCAAGUCGAACGCACAGUUUAUACCGUAGCUUGCUACACCAUAAACUGUGAGUUGCGAACGGGUGAGUAACGCGUAGGUAACCUGCCUGGUAGCGGGGGAUAACUAUUGGAAACGAUAGCUAAUACCGCAUAAUAUUGAUUAUUGCAUGAUAAUUGAUUGAAAGAUGCUAUUGCAUCACUACCAGAUGGACCUGCGUUGUAUUAGCUAGUAGGUGAGGUAACGGCUCACCUAGGCGACGAUACAUAGCCGACCUGAGAGGGUGAUCGGCCACACUGGGACUGAGACACGGCCCAGACUCCUACGGGAGGCAGCAGUAGGGAAUCUUCGGCAAUGGACGAAAGUCUGACCGAGCAACGCCGCGUGAGUGAAGAAGGGUUUCGGAUCGUAAAGCUCUGUUGUAAGAGAAGAACGGGUGUGAGAGUGGAAAGUUCACACUGUGACGGUAGCUUACCAGAAAGGGACGGCUAACUACGUG